This 567-nucleotide ribosomal RNA is filed under the name uncultured bacterium. RNAcentral describes it as "bacterial SSU rRNA". It matches the Rfam family "Bacterial small subunit ribosomal RNA", at positions 337 to 919 of the family's 1533-position model. The record is from RNAcentral.
UCCUACGGGAGGCAGCAGCAGGGAAUCUUGCGCAAUGGGCGAAAGCNUGACGCAGCGACCGCCGCGUGAGGGAAGAAGGCCUGCGGGUCGUAAACCUCUUUUCUCGGGGAAGAUAGUGACGGUACCCGAGGAAUAAGCCUCGGCUAACUACGUGCCAGCAGCCGCGGUAAUACGUAGGAGGCUAGCGUUGUCCGGAUUCAUUGGGCGUAAAGGGAACGCAGGUGGCUGAGUUCGUCCGUGGUGCAAUCUCCAGGCUCAACUUGGAGAGGUCUGCGGAUACUGCUCGGCUUGAGGACGGUAGAGGAGCACGGAAUUCCUGGUGUAGUGGUGAAAUGCGUAGAUAUCAGGAGGAACACCCGUGGCGAAAGCGGUGCUCUGGGCCGAUCCUGACACUCAGGCUCGAAAGCGUGGGGAGCAAACCGGAUUAGAUACCCGGGUAGUCCACGCCCUAAACGAUGAGUGCUGGGUAUGGGGGGUAUCGACCCCCUCCGUGCCGAAGCUCACGCGUUAAGCACUCCGCCUGGGGACUACGGCCGCAAGGCUAAAACUCAAAGGAAUUGACGGGGA